RNAcentral lists this ribosomal RNA (403 nucleotides) under Verrucomicrobiota bacterium. RNAcentral's name for it is "Verrucomicrobia bacterium partial 16S ribosomal RNA". It matches the Rfam family "Bacterial small subunit ribosomal RNA", at positions 355 to 776 of the family's 1533-position model. Lineage: Bacteria; Pseudomonadati; Verrucomicrobiota. The record is from RNAcentral.
UGGGGAAUAUUGCACAAUGGGCGCAAGCCUGAUGCAGCAACGCCGCGUGAACGAUGAAGGUCUUCGGAUCGUAAAGUUCUGUUGCAGGGGAAGAUAAUGACGGUACCCUGUGAGGAAGCCCCGGCUAACUACGUGCCAGCAGCGGCGGUAAUACGUAGGGGGCUAGCGUUAUCCGGAUUUACUGGGCGUAAAGGGUGCGUAGGUGGUCUUUCAAGUCGGUGGUUAAAGGCUACGGCUCAACCGUAGUUAGCCUCCGAAACUGGAAGACUUGAGUGCAGGAGAGGAAAGUGGAAUUCCCAGUGUAGCGGUGAAAUGCGUAGAUAUUGGGAGGAACACCAGUAGCGAAGGCGGCUUUCUGGACUGCAACUGACACUGAGGCACGAAAGCGUGGGUAGCAAACAGG